GAACGCUAGCGGCAGGCCUAACACAUGCAAGUCGAGGGGUAACAGGGAGCUUGCUCCGCUGACGACCGGCGCACGGGUGCGCACCGCGUAUGGAACCUACCUUGUACAGGGGAAUAGCCCAGGGAAACUUGGAUUAAUGCCCCGUGGUACCACGACCCGGCAUCGGGAUGUGGUUAAAGCCUUCGGGCGGUAUAAGAUGGCCAUGCGUCCCAUUAGCUUGUUGGUAAGGUAACGGCUUACCAAGGCUACGAUGGGUAGGGGCCCUGAGAGGGGGAUCCCCCACACUGGUACUGAGACACGGACCAGACUCCUACGGGAGGCAGCAGUGAGGAAUAUUGGACAAUGGAGGAGACUCUGAUCCAGCCAUGCCGCGUGCAGGAAGAAUGCCCUAUGGGUAGUAAACUGCUUUUAUACGGAAGAAAAAGGGGCACGUGUGCCCUACUGACGGUACCGUAAGAAUAAGGACCGGCUAACUCCGUGCCACAGCCGCGGUAAUACGGAGGGUCCGAGCGUUAUCCGGAAUUAUUGGGUUUAAAGGGUCCGUAGGCGGGCCGAUAAGUCAGGGGUGAAAGUUUGCAGCUCAACUGUAAAAUUGCCUUUGAUACUGUUGGUCUUGAGUUAUAGUGAAGUUGCCGGAAUAUGUAGUGUAGCGGUGAAAUGCAUAGAUAUUACAUAGAACACCGAUUGCGAAGGCAGGUGACUAACUAUAUACUGACGCUGAUGGACGAAAGCGUGGGGAGCGAACAGGAUUAGAUACCCUGGUAGUCCACGCCGUAAACGAUGGAUACUAGCUGUCCGGGACCUUGAGUUCUGGGCGGCCAAGCGAAAGUGAUAAGUAUCCCACCUGGGGAGUACGUUCGCAAGAAUGAAACUCAAAGGAAUUGACGGGGGCCCGCACAAGCGGUGGAGCAUGUGGUUUAAUUCGAUGAUACGCGAGGAACCUUACCAGGGCUUAAAUGCAUUUUGACAGGGGUAGAGAUACCUUUUCCUUCGGGCAAUUUGCAAGGUGCUGCAUGGUUGUCGUCAGCUCGUGCCGUGAGGUGUCAGGUUAAGUCCUAUAACGAGCGCAACCCCUACCGUUAGUUGCCAGCAUGUCAUGAUGGGGACUCUAACGGGACUGCCGGUGCAAACCGUGAGGAAGGUGGGGAUGACGUCAAAUCAUCACGGCCCUUACGUCCUGGGCCACACACGUGCUACAAUGGCAGGUACAGAGAGCAGCCAUGUCGCAAGGCAGAGCGAAUCUAUAAAACCUGUCACAGUUCGGAUCGGGGUCUGCAACUCGACCCCGUGAAGCUGGAAUCGCUAGUAAUCGGAUAUCAGCCAUGAUCCGGUGAAUACGUUCCCGGGCCUUGUACACACCGCCCGUCAAGCCAUGGAAGCCGGGAGUGCCUGAAGUCCGUCACCGUAAGGAGCGGCCUAGGGCAAGAUCGGUAACUAGG
This 1439-nucleotide ribosomal RNA is filed under the name Maribacter orientalis. Its description in RNAcentral is "16S ribosomal RNA". It matches the Rfam family "Bacterial small subunit ribosomal RNA". The record is from RNAcentral. Lineage: Bacteria; Pseudomonadati; Bacteroidota; Flavobacteriia; Flavobacteriales; Flavobacteriaceae.